RNAcentral lists this ribosomal RNA (567 nucleotides) under uncultured bacterium. RNAcentral's name for it is "bacterial SSU rRNA". It matches the Rfam family "Bacterial small subunit ribosomal RNA", at positions 8 to 572 of the family's 1533-position model. The record is from RNAcentral.
AGAGUUUGAUCCUGGCUCAGGAUGAACGCUAGCGGCAGGCUUAACACAUGCAAGUCGAACGGUAACAGGUCCUUCGGGAUGCUGACGAGUGGCGCACGGGUGCGUAACGCGUAUGCAAUCUGCCCUUAUCUGGAGAAUAGCCCGGAGAAAUCCGGAUUAAUACUCCAUAACGUGCACUUCCCGCAUGGGUAGUGUAUUAAAGCUUCGGCGGAUAAGGAUGAGCAUGCGUCCUAUUAGCUUGUUGGUGAGGUAACGGCUCACCAAGGCUACGAUAGGUAGGGGGCCUGAGAGGGUGAUCCCCCACACUGGUACUGAGACACGGACCAGACUCCUACGGGAGGCAGCAGUGAGGAAUAUUGGACAAUGGGCGCAAGCCUGAUCCAGCCAUGCCGCGUGCAGGAUGACGGCCCUACGGGUUGUAAACUGCUUUUGUAUGGGAAUAAACCCCCGCACGUGUGCGGGGCUGAAGGUACCAUACGAAUAAGGAUCGGCUAACUCCGUGCCAGCAGCCGCGGUAAUACGGAGGAUCCAAGCGUUAUCCGGAUUCAUUGGGUUUAAAGGGUCCGC